This 374-nucleotide ribosomal RNA is filed under the name uncultured bacterium. RNAcentral's name for it is "bacterial SSU rRNA". It matches the Rfam family "Bacterial small subunit ribosomal RNA", at positions 29 to 402 of the family's 1533-position model. The record is from RNAcentral.
AUUGAACGCUGGCGGCGUGCCUAACACAUGCAAGUCGAGCGGUAACAGGUGUAGCAAUACAUGCUGACGAGCGGCGGACGGGUGAGUAACGCUUGGGAAUCUGCCUAUUAGUGGGGGACAACCCGGGGAAACUCGGGCUAAUACCGCAUACGCACUACGGUGGAAAGCCGGGGACCGCAAGGCCUGGCGCUAACAGAUGAGCCCAAGUCGGAUUAGCUAGUUGGUAGGGUAACGGCCACCAAGGCGACGAUCCGUAACUGGUCUGAGAGGACGACCAGUCACACCGGAACUGAGACACGGUCCGGACUCCUACGGGAGGCAGCAGGUGGGGAAUAUUGGACAAUGGGCGAAAGCCUGAUCCAGCGACGCCGCGU